UACGGAGGAUGCGAGCGUUAUCCGGAUUAUUGGGUUUAAAGGGUGCGUAGGCGGCUUUUUAAGUCAGCGGUGAAAUUUUGCAGCUUAACUGUAACAGUGCCGUUGAUACUGGGGAGCUAGGAUUUGGUUGCUGUGGGUGGAAUGUGUGGUGUAGCGGUGAAAUGCUUAGAGAUCACACAGAACACCGAUUGCGAAGGCAGCUCACAAAGCCACAUCUGACGCUGAGGCACGAAAGCGUGGGGAGCAAACAGGAUUA
Molecule: ribosomal RNA, 256 nt
Filed under: uncultured prokaryote
Description: partial 16S ribosomal RNA
Rfam family: Bacterial small subunit ribosomal RNA
Source: RNAcentral